GGAAAGGGCUCAAAAUUAAAUGGGAAGCACCUGAGUAUAAGAUCAAAGCUGCCAGGAAUAAGAAAAACCGGGCAUCUGCAAAGGGUGGAUCUGUCCAUACGGGUGGCUCCAUAUCCACAAAUGAGCACAUCAUUCGAAUGCGUCGAGAGUUGGGUAGAGAGCCCACAUUAGAUGAGGUCUUCUUAAGAACUCAUACAAAAAAGAAGGACUCCUCAUGGGUGGACGACAGAUCAAAGAAGACAUAUGAAACAUUUCAAGAGAAGCUUAAACAUGCCUCUCAAGUUGGAGAGGCAUCAGAUAGUGGCCCC
Molecule: long non-coding RNA, 308 nt
Organism: Vicia villosa (hairy vetch)
Lineage: Eukaryota; Viridiplantae; Streptophyta; Magnoliopsida; Fabales; Fabaceae
Exons: 3
Source: RefSeq, a predicted model, not a curated record